UCCUACGGGGGGCAGCAGUAGGGAAUUUUCGUCAAUGGGCGCAAGCCUGAACGAGCAAUGCCGCGUGAACGAGGAAGGUCUUCGGAUCGUAAAGUUCUGUUGAAGGGGAAAAAGAGCGGAGAGAGGAAAUGGUCUCCGAUUGAUAUUACACUUCGAGGAAGUCACGGCUAACUACGUGCCAGCAGCCGCGGUAAUACGUAGGUGGCGAGCGUUAUCCGGAAUGAUUGGGCGUAAAGGGUGCGUAGGCGGCCUGCUAAGUCUGGAGUGAAAGGUACCGGCUCAACCGGUACAGGCUCUGGAAACUG
Molecule: ribosomal RNA, 305 nt
Filed under: uncultured bacterium
Lineage: Bacteria
Description: bacterial SSU rRNA
Rfam family: Bacterial small subunit ribosomal RNA
Source: RNAcentral